RNAcentral lists this ribosomal RNA (454 nucleotides) under uncultured bacterium. RNAcentral describes it as "bacterial SSU rRNA". It matches the Rfam family "Bacterial small subunit ribosomal RNA", at positions 340 to 786 of the family's 1533-position model. The record is from RNAcentral.
UACGGGAGGCAGCAGUGGGGAAUAUUGCACAAUGGGCGCAAGCCUGAUGCAGCCAUGCCGCGUGUAUGAAGAAGGCCUUCGGGUUGUAAAGUACUUUCAGUCGUGAGGAAGGUGUUAAGGUUAAUAACCUUAGCAAUUGACGUUAGCGACAGAAGAAGCACCGGCUAACUCCGUGCCAGCAGCCGCGGUAAUACGGAGGGUGCGAGCGUUAAUCGGAAUUACUGGGCGUAAAGGGCACGCAGGCGGUUAAUUAAGUUGGAUGUGAAAUCCCCGGGCUUAACCUGGGAAUGGCAUUCAAGACUGGUUAGCUAGAGUCUUGUAGAGGGGGUAGAAUUCCAUGUGUAGCGGUGAAAUGCGUAGAGAUGUGGAGGAAUACCGGUGGCGAAGGCGGCCCCUGGACAAAGACUGACGCUCAUGUGCGAAAGCGUGGGGAGCAAACGAGGGAUUAAAUACC